ACGAACCGUCCAAACGUUAUUCGGAAUUACUGGGCUUAAAGGGUUCGUAGGCGGCCUUGUAAGUGAGAUGUGAAAUCCCACGGCUCAACCGUGGAAGUGCAUUUCAUACUGCAAGGCUUGAGGGAGACAGAGGUAAGCGGAACUGAUGGUGGAGCGGUGAAAUGCGUUGAUAUCAUCAGGAACACCGGUGGCGAAAGCGGCUUACUGGGUCUCUUCUGACGCUGAGGAACGAAAGCCAGGGGAGCGAACGGGA
Molecule: ribosomal RNA, 253 nt
Filed under: uncultured prokaryote
Description: partial 16S ribosomal RNA
Rfam family: Bacterial small subunit ribosomal RNA
Source: RNAcentral